This 483-nucleotide ribosomal RNA is filed under the name uncultured bacterium. RNAcentral's name for it is "partial 16S ribosomal RNA". It matches the Rfam family "Bacterial small subunit ribosomal RNA", at positions 28 to 523 of the family's 1533-position model. The record is from RNAcentral.
GACGAACGCUGGCGGCGUGCUUAACACAUGCAAGUCGAACGAUGAAGCCGGAGCUUGCUCCGGUGGAUUAGUGGCGAACGGGUGAGUAACACGUGAGCAAUCUGCCCUUGACUCUGGGAUAACUGCGGGAAACUGUAGCUAAUACCGGAUACGACACCUUGGGGCAUCCCAGGGCGUGGAAAGAAUUUCGGUCAAGGAUGAGCUCGCGGCCUAUCAGCUAGUUGGUGAGGUAAUGGCUCACCAAGGCGAGGACGGGUAGCCGGCCGGAAAGGGUGACCGGCCACACUGGAACUGAGACACGGUCCAGUCUCCUACGGGAGGCAGCAGUGGGGAAUAUUGCACAAUGGGCGAAAGCCUGAUGCAGCAACGCCGCGUGAGGGAUGAAGGCAUUCGGGUUGUAAACCUCUUUUAGCAGGGAAGAAGCGAAAGUGACGGUACCUGCAGAAAGAGCACCGGCUAACUACGUGCCAGCAGCCGCCGUAA